This 468-nucleotide ribosomal RNA is filed under the name uncultured bacterium. RNAcentral's name for it is "partial 16S ribosomal RNA". It matches the Rfam family "Bacterial small subunit ribosomal RNA", at positions 28 to 507 of the family's 1533-position model. The record is from RNAcentral.
GACGAACGCUGGCGGCGGGCUUAACACAUGCAAGUCGAACGGAAAGGCCCUGCUUUCGUGGGGUGCUCGAGUGGCGAACGGGUGAGUAACACGUGAGUAACCUGCCCUAGACUUUGGGAUAACUUCAGGUAACUGGGGCUAAUACCGGAUAGGAUAUCCUGCUGCAUGGUGGGGGUUGGAAAGUUUCGGCGGGUGGGGAUGGACUCGCGGCUGAUCAGCUAGUUGGUGGGGUAGUGGCUUACCAAGCCUGUGACGGGUAGCCGGCAUGGGAGGGUGGCCGGGGACAUGGGGCCUAAGGGAGGCAGCAGUGUCGAACAUGGGACAGCAGUGGGAAGCCUGGUCCAGUGGGACGAAGUGGGUUAAGGAGGCGCUCGGGUUGUAAAGCCGGUUUGCUGGUAAAGAAAAGCAUCCGGUUGAGACGAAGCGGGAGUGACGGUAACGGAAAAAGAAGCACCGGCUAACUACGUG